GCCAGCAUGGUUUAGUGGUUUGACUAUUGGACUACAGUUCUGAAGAUCAGGGUUUAAUUCCCCGCUCGGCCA
This is a non-coding RNA of Phrynosoma platyrhinos (Desert horned lizard), 72 nucleotides long. Lineage: Eukaryota; Metazoa; Chordata; Lepidosauria; Squamata; Phrynosomatidae. The record is from the annotation of a GenBank genome assembly.